GGGAGGCCCAGGUGGGACCAGGAGCAGGAGCCGCACUUUAGGGACGUUUUCCCGGACUUGGUUGCAGAAACAAAUUCCUUAAAUUCCUCAGGGCAAUUCCAUCCUCCAGCCAGCGAUCUUCCUCGGUGGAAAGAGUGAAGUCACAGCCCACGUUUGGUCUUGCUAUGCAUUCUAGGCUGGCCUGAAACUCAGAGCGAUCCUCUUGCUUCAGCCUCCCGAGUGCUGGGAUUACAGGCGUGCCCACCAUUCCCAUCUUCUGGCCAGAUUCUUUUCAAAUAAAUCCCUGCCCUGCUGAGGUCAUGAAGACGCUGACUGGCUCAGGAAUUCCCCGAGACUUCUCCUAGCACACUUGUGGGUCCCACUCUGAGAGUCCCCAUUACUCAUCGCUGAUCUCCACCCUGCUGGGGGCCGAGUUGGUAGUUUUGUUUUUUCUUUUGGUACCGGGGAUCGAGCUCCGGACCUUGCUCUUGCAAGGCAGGCAGGCGGCAGCACCACUGAGCUAAAUCCCCGGUCCUUUGGUUGCAGUUUUAAGCCCAGUGCGGACACCACUGUGCACUCGGGAUCUUGGGCUGCAGUUUUUGUGGGGGAUUUUUAGGCAGAAUAUUUAUUGGUACGCUUUUUCUUUUAUUUCUUUUUUGGUACCAGGGAUUGAACUCGGGCUCUUGCGCUUGCGCAGCAGGCAGCAAAACCACUGAGCUAAAUCCCCGGCCCUGUUGGUA
Molecule: long non-coding RNA, 719 nt
Filed under: Heterocephalus glaber (naked mole-rat)
Lineage: Eukaryota; Metazoa; Chordata; Mammalia; Rodentia; Bathyergidae
Description: lncRNA (ENSHGLG00100047094.1)
Source: RNAcentral